UACGUAGGGUGCGAGCGUUAAUCGGAAUUACUGGGCGUAAAGCGUGCGCAGGCGGUGAUGUAAGACAGGUGUGAAAUCCCCGGGCUUAACCUGGGAACUGCAUUUGUGACUGCAUCGCUGGAGUGCGGCAGAGGGGGAUGGAAUUCCGCGUGUAGCAGUGAAAUGCGUAGAGAUGUGGAGGAACACCGAUGGCGAAGGCAGCCCCCUGGGCUAACACUGACGCUCAUGCACGAAAGCGUGGGGAGCAAACAGG
This 253-nucleotide ribosomal RNA is filed under the name uncultured bacterium. Its description in RNAcentral is "partial 16S ribosomal RNA". It matches the Rfam family "Bacterial small subunit ribosomal RNA", at positions 524 to 776 of the family's 1533-position model. The record is from RNAcentral.